CGCUUUAUCCCCAGCAGCAAUACUCUACAAAACGAAAUAUUGUCCCUCCAUUUAAACCCCAUUCAACCAGGUUUAAUGUCCUCGACAUUGAGCCACAAUAUGUAAGGAAUAUCGUUUAAAGGCCGCAGGCCAGCUGACAAUGGACAUAAAUCGGAGGGGCCGAGGGGCCAAAGAAACUAAACUGAAACAUUGUUUGCCGUGAGUAUUUUCUAAACAGCAUGUGCCUUAUAUCUUAAAUAAAUAAAUAUAAAAUAAUCUAGACGGACAUAUGUUGGAACUUUGUUUUGUUUUGUCCAUAUUCAAACUCUUCUAGGUGGCGCCCCAACAGCUCAUCGAAAUGCACGCAGCGCGAAUUCGAAUCCACAGCGAGAUUUGAGCGCGGGAAGCUGUUAUGUGCCAGUAUGCUGGGGUAGGCUUGACAACUCAAAAUUUUCUAUUUGUACUUACGAAGCAGCAGUAUUUGACAGAAAAGAAUAAUACUUUGAUGCUCUUCUCACGCCUACAAGCGAGGGCGGCGUGAUUAACAACACAGCGUAAUGCGCAACGGUGAACGCCAACGAACUGCGUGCCGCCACCAACCUGGACGAAGCAUUUUGGACUGAAGCUGUCUUGAUAUCUACAAUACAUUGGACACUACAUGCAGGAUUAUGAAUGGAUACCUGAACACUGCUUGAAGGAGCAAGCUCUACAGCAUCACUUAUGCUCCUUUCCAUGGGUUGGCAAGAGGAACCGUGGCACGCAACUCUACAGGCACCUGUGCUCUUCACUACCUUCGGAGGAGAGAUGCAUUGAAUGCUCCCUAUCAUGCACUGCCAUCUCAACAGUACCAUGGCUUUUUGUGUGGAUUCCUUCCCUUUUGAAGGCCACCACUGUUUGCACAGCAUCACAGCCUGCCUGCCUUGAUCUUGCGGAAGAAGAAAAUACAAAAUGCCUAUUUUUUGAAAUGCAUGCAUGGCUUCAUGCAACACCACCUGUCGUCGGGGUGUUAAGGCUUUUUGCAGAGAAAAUGUAAUGACGCCUUAUGUGUGCCCUGGUGGCAAAGUGUUUGCCUCUUUGCCUGUGUAAAAAUUUCACACUUAUGGAUACUGUUAAAGGUUCCUGUAUCAUAUUUUCUUUCACAUCCUAAGAAAUUUUUGUUUCAUUAUAAAACUAAAAAUUAUAGUUGAAUUGCUGCUUUGUGUGAUAUGCAAUAUUCAGCUGAAGGUGAUCAGCAGAGGUCGAACAAGUGUUAUGUCAGGUGGAGAAAUUUUUUUGAGAAGUGGACUUCUUCGUUAGGGUAACAACCGUUUUCCUUGGCAGUAUUUAUAUAGUUCACUUUUCUCCACUCCAUGGAUAUCCAGCAAAAUGAGUGAGUGCAUAGAGAAGGUGAGGUAAGUUUAAAUGCUCACCAUGGGGGUUUAGUUGGGGUAGCAAGGUGUGUAGAAGUAUGGGAGUUUGGCAGGUUGCUGGCACCAAUUUCUAUGAGUGAUCUUGUUGUUUGUGUCUAUGUCAGUUAUAUAAUGCGAGGCGUCUUCUGACGCCAGAAAUUUUGAAAAAAAAACCUUAUAUUUGUGGAAAUUCAGUAUGUGCCCCUGGGGCUACUACGAGCACUUGGGGCCACUGGGUAGAUGCAGCUCUCCAAUGAACUUUUUUGACACAAACUUCUGUAUGUACGCUGGGUGUGUGCCACUGCAUAUGUGCCACUCUUUAAUGAACCGCUUUGAUGCUGACUUAGGUCAUGGGGCAUCACAACACAAACCUAUGUAGCGACAUCUGUGUAUGCAAGUAAGUGUGAGCUGGAAUUGUCUGCUUGGAUUUUCUUUCCCUGAUGACGACUAGUCCCCUUGUUGAAUUAACUUCAGCCUGAGAUAUCACCUGUUUGUCUACUGUUAUCACAUUAUGCCCAUUUUGCUGUGAACUUGUCAUGUUCUCUAGCUGGCAAGCUUGAAUUUCAGGUGCUGCACGCUAAGGAAAUUGAUUCAGAGUGGGUGGUACCACUUCUGCUUUUUCUUUGCAGCUGUGUGUUACAUGAGAGAAUAAGUUGUACGUAGAUGUCUAUUAGAAAUAGCAUAGGUAUUCAAAGGUACUUUCAUUAUGUUCUAGGUCAUUGGUGCUGUCUGGCCUCCUUUGCAUCAUUUUUUGUAGCAUGCUUUUUACAUGCAAAAACAAAUGUGGCCUGUUCUAAUGCAUGCAAGGACUGCCCAAUAGCUCAUGAUGUUUUGAGCCGCUGAAUUUCAGUCUUGGCUGCACUUGUGGAUUUUCAACUGUACUGAAGCUUGCAAUAUGCUUGAAUUUCCUGUCAAACUGGUUUGCUUGUUUGUAUCGAAUUUAUUGAAUUAUUUCACUUUCAUUAUGCUAAUAGUCAUUGAUUGUACUAUCAUGCUGGCACAUUUGAUUCUGGAACUGCAAUAAAUUUCCAGACAUUUUA
Non-coding RNA from Dermacentor andersoni, 2407 nucleotides. NCBI's taxonomy places the organism in Eukaryota, Metazoa, Arthropoda, Arachnida, Ixodida, Ixodidae. The record is from RefSeq and is a predicted model, not a curated record.